CACGGAGGAUGGAGGAAUUGGACACGGAGGAUGGAGGGACAGCGGGACUGGCAGACUGGGAAAAGCGCAGUCUAGGUCUGUUGGUGGGGUAAUGUGGGACUGUGGAGGGCGUGAAGUGAGCUGAUACUACUGUAGCGAUUCGUUCGCCAUUCAAUUCACUAAUUGGUUCAAUUCCGCUCAACUUCUUCACCGCUCAUCGCUCUUCUAGCCGGUCAAGAGCAGAUUAUCAAUCCGCUGGCGAAUCGGCUUACGGAAGACGCCACUAUCCGAUACGAGAAUCCGGUCACGCGAUGCGGAGACGGAAGUGUGCAACUGUGGAUUUGGACAGAUUAUCAAACAUUCACAAACGAGAGACAUCCACAAACGAGAGACAUCCACAAACGAGAGAAAUGUCGUCAACACUACGACUUUUUGGUUUUCCAACUGACCAAGGACCGACAUGAACAACGUGAAGGGAUGAAGGACAGGCGCCUGAACCUCCAGUUUCACCCACAAGUUCCAUGAGUCUAGCCAAAGUAAAUACAUCCAGAAACGCUUCGUGAUAGCUCCCAAAUACGACCAGAAACGCUUCGUGACAGCUCCCAAAUACGACCAAAAACAAGUCCCAGACUGCUCCCAUGCUCCGAAUGACCUUUCCGUCGAAGGAGUCUGCGUGAUUCUCGACACUUUGGGCUACAAUGUUCUCGCCAACUCUUUGGGUGACUCGUUCUACCUGUAUGAACUGAUUUUGUUUUCGGGCGCGUCUUGUGUUCAGACAGUAACGACGACUCCUCGAGAGUUUGCCGCCCGUGCCAUCAACGAGACUGAUCAGCGUGGUCGUCUGGACACAUGAGUUCCGUCGUACCUGAACGUGGUGACUGUAUUGUUCUAGAAGCAGUCUGUUUGCUGCGCAGAGCCAGGAUCCCAUCCAGUUCACGCGUUCUGCCAACUCGUCAGAGGUGCAUCUGGCAGCUUUCGAGGCUCUGUUGCCCAUUGGCGUGCCCAACAGUCGUGCUGUCCAUCAAGUGGUUAGUCGUAUGAUCGCGAUGAGUUUGGUGUCCUUCUUACGAGGGCUGUCCGAAGAGCUCCACUCAUGAGAGCACUGGCCAUGCCUACUGGGGGAAUUGGCGACUCUCAGUUGCGAUUGUCAACUUGAUGACAGCAGAUUCUAGAUGGACCUGGAAUAUGGACCUAGACGGAGGUUCUGCUUGCAGAGAGGUGGAGAAAGAUUUGCUACAACACACAACUACAACUGCAACAGAUCAGGGCCGAAUUCACAAGUCUCUAGUGUGUCUUUCUGCCCUACCAACUGUCGUGGAUUGUGGUCUGCCGUACCAUGGUGAUUGACAUGGACACGGGCAUUGAUUCAACCGGCUCCCGGGAGAUUGAUUCAAGCGGCUUCCGGAAUAUUCUCUUCUAGUUUGCAAUUGAUACAAGUACAGUACAAUAUUGUGCAGUACUUCAACGGUUCAGUC
This 1454-nucleotide unclassified non-coding RNA is filed under the name Yarrowia lipolytica. The record is from RNAcentral. Lineage: Eukaryota; Fungi; Ascomycota; Dipodascomycetes; Dipodascales.